This 476-nucleotide ribosomal RNA is filed under the name uncultured bacterium. RNAcentral describes it as "SSU rRNA". It matches the Rfam family "Bacterial small subunit ribosomal RNA", at positions 26 to 518 of the family's 1533-position model. The record is from RNAcentral.
AGAGUGAACGCUGGCGGCAGGCCUAACACAUGCAAGUCGAGCGGCAGCGCGGGGGCAACCCUGGCGGCGAGCGGCGGACGGGUGAGGAAUGCAUCGGAAUCUACCUUGUUGUGGGGGAUAACGUAGGGAAACUUACGCUAAUACCGCAUACGACCUACGGGUGAAAGAGGGGGACCUUCGGGCCUCUCGCGAUAAGAUGAGCCGAUGCCGGAUUAGCUAGUUGGUGGGGUAAAGGCCCACCAAGGCGACGAUCCGUAGCUGGUCUGAGAGGACGACCAGCCACACUGGGACUGAGACACGGCCCAGACACCUACGGGAGGCAGCAGUGGGGAAUAUUGCACAAUGGGCGCAAGCCUGAUGCAGCAACGCCGCGUGAGGGACGACGGCCUUCGGGUUGUAAACCUCUUUAGCAAGGAAGAAGCGAAAGUGACGGUACUUGCAGAAAAGACACCGGCUAACUACGUGCCAGCAGCCGC